Molecule: unclassified non-coding RNA, 323 nt
Filed under: soil metagenome
Description: partial contains 5.8S ribosomal RNA, internal transcribed spacer 2, and large subunit ribosomal RNA
Rfam family: 5.8S ribosomal RNA (bases 1-120)
Source: RNAcentral
GAUGAAGAACGCAGCGAAAUGCGACAAGUAAUGUGAAUUGCAGAAUUCAGUGAGUCAUCGAAUCUUUGAACGCACAUUGCGCCCUGUGGUAUUCCGCAGGGCAUGCCUGUUCGAGCGUCAUUUCAACCCUCAAGCUCUGCUUGGUGUUGGGCCCUGCCCGCUGCGGCCGGCCCUAAAGACAGUGGCGGUGCCGCCUGGCCCUGAGCGUAGUACAUCUCUCGCUCCAGUGCCCGGUGGUAGCCUGCCAGAACCCCAACUCUCGUGGUUGACCUCGGAUCAGGUAGGGAUACCCGCUGAACUUAAGCAUAUCAAUAAGCGGAGGA